AAAAGUACUCUGAAAAGAGAGUUAAAAAGUACGUGAAACCGCUGGAAGGGAAGCGAAUGGAGUCGGCAAUUCGCCCUGCCUGAUUCAUCCACUCUCGUUCUACAACCCGCUUUCUCGCGACCUGUUCCCAGGCACGGUUUGCGCGGUCGUCGUCACGGGUGUGGUGCACUUCGGCGGGCGAACGUCAACGCCAGUCAACCGCGCGUCACAAACUCGCAAGCUCGGUACAUUCUUCGGAAUGGGUAAGUCUUGCGUGUGCACGACGCGCGAGAGACUGUCCUCACUCGCAGCGUGUGUCCCCUACGGGCUGCUGCCUUUGUCGUCGAUCCGGCUGUGCUGUCCAGCGGACGGCUGUACGCCUGUGCGUCGGCAGUGCCGCUGAUCGACAGACCUAAGAUGCAGACACCACACGCUCAGUACGUUGACCGACCUGCGUCUCCAUCCGACCCGUCUUGAAACACGGACCAAGGAGUCCAACAUGUGCGCAAGUCUCAGGGUGAACGAAACCCGUCGUGGGCUUAAUGAAAGUAAAUGCGGUCUCGCGGCCGCAGAGAUGAGAAGCGCACUUUCUCGUGCACUGCAUCAUCGACCGACCUCAUCUACUCUUAGAAAGGUUUGAGUUAGAGCGCACCUGUUGGGACCCGAAAGAUGGUGAACUAUGCCUGAAUAGGGCGAAGCCAGCGGAAACACUGGUGGA
Molecule: ribosomal RNA, 697 nt
Filed under: Chrysogorgia varians
Lineage: Eukaryota; Metazoa; Cnidaria; Anthozoa; Scleralcyonacea; Chrysogorgiidae
Description: partial large subunit ribosomal RNA
Rfam family: Eukaryotic large subunit ribosomal RNA
Source: RNAcentral